CUCCCGACAGGAAGGAAGUGCUAGUCACAAGACCCAAUUACCACUCCCAGUUGGGCCCUUCCCCCACAAACUGUCAGUCUUGUUUCCUUUCCAAAUAGGAAUUCAAAAUUCAAAAUGCUAGGGAAUUCAAAAGUGUCAAUCAUAACUUUGAACAUGAAUGGGAUGAACUCACCCAUAAAACAUAGACGAAUAGGAGAGUAGAUUAGAAUCCAAAUUCCUACCAUAUGUUGUCUACAAGAAAUGCACAUGAGGCGAGUAGAUACUCACAAGGUCAGAAUUAAAGGGUGGAGUAUGACCUAUUGGACCUGUGGAAAGGAAACAAGACUGACAGUUUGUGGGGGAAGGGCCCAACUGGGAGUGGCAGUUGGGUCUUGUGACUAGCACUUCCUUUCUGCCGGAUGGGGCUUGCUUCCUGGUGUUGGAGGAGAGAGGAGCUUGUUCAGCCCAGUCUGGAGUGCCAUGCUCUUUCUUGGUUCAGCCUGAAGAUUCAAGUCCAAUCUGUUCUGAAGUUUCUUCUCUUGAGGAAGACAUAUACCGGUCAUUCUUCAAACACUAUUUCUGUUGCUGCUUAUAAUGUUUUCUUGAUUCUGCUCAUUGCAUUCUUCAAAAUUUCAGGUUGAUGACUUCCUUAGGAAGCAAUCCAGAGCCUACCUCUCCCAUGACCUUCUGGGCCACUAUGAGAUAUACCCUUCCUAUGCAGUUCACACUAUUUGGAUGAGCAGUGAAUUACCAACUUUAAUCCAGAAUGAUGAGACCAUCAGUCCUUAUCAUUUGCCCAGCCACUACAGUUUACAAACCCCUGAGCAUUGCCAUUUCCCCUGCCAGGGUACCCUGAGAAUUUUGAGGCUUUCUUUUCCAUCCUGCAGCUGAAUGUUCCUUUAAGUGUUGUUUCCUCCAACUAGAAUGAGAGCUCCUUGAGAGCAGGGAUCAAUUCAUUUUUUAUUUAUAGUCGCAAGGCUCAGCACAGUGUUUGGAAUAUUGUAAGGGUUUAAUAAAUACUUUUUCAUUCACUCA
This 1014-nucleotide long non-coding RNA is filed under the name Monodelphis domestica (gray short-tailed opossum). Its description in RNAcentral is "lncRNA (ENSMODG00000051052.1)". Lineage: Eukaryota; Metazoa; Chordata; Mammalia; Didelphimorphia; Didelphidae. The record is from RNAcentral.